GACUUUGCCGGAUUAGCUGAGAGGUGGUGCAUGGCCGUCGUCAGUUCGUACUGUGAAGCAUCCUGUUAAGUCAGGCAACGAGCGGGACCCACGCCCACAGUUGCCAGCGUACUCUCUGGAGUGACGGGUACACUGUGGGGACCGCCGCUGCUAAAGCGGAGGAAGGAAUGGGCAACGGUAGGUCAGUAUGCCCCGAAUAUCCCGGGCUACACGCGAGCUACAAUGGUUGGUACAAUGGGUAUCUACCCCGAAAGGGGACGGGAAUCUCCUAAAACCAAUCUUAGUUCGGAUUGAGGGCUGCAACUCGCCCCCAUGAAGCUGGAAUCCGUAGUAAUCGCGUUUCAACAGAACGCGGUGAAUACGUCCCUGCUCCUU
RNAcentral lists this ribosomal RNA (375 nucleotides) under uncultured Methanosaeta sp. RNAcentral's name for it is "bacterial SSU rRNA". It matches the Rfam family "Archaeal small subunit ribosomal RNA", at positions 964 to 1338 of the family's 1478-position model. Lineage: Archaea; Methanobacteriati; Methanobacteriota; Methanomicrobia; Methanotrichales; Methanotrichaceae. The record is from RNAcentral.